This 241-nucleotide ribosomal RNA is filed under the name uncultured bacterium. RNAcentral's name for it is "partial 16S ribosomal RNA". It matches the Rfam family "Bacterial small subunit ribosomal RNA", at positions 678 to 916 of the family's 1533-position model. The record is from RNAcentral.
GCGGUGAAAUGCGUAGAUAUCGAGAGGAACACCUGCGGCGAAGGCGGGUUGCUGGGCUGACACUGACGCUGAAGCGCGAAAGCUAGGGGAGCGAACGGGAUUAGAUACCCCGGUAGUCCUAGCCUUAAACGAUGAAUGCUUGGUGUCUGGGGUUUUAUAGUCCCCGGGUGCCGUCGCUAACGCUUUAAGCAUUCCGCCUGGGGAGUACGGUCGCAAGACUGAAACUCAAAUGAAUUGACGG